UGGGGAAUCUUGCGCAAUGGGCGAAAGCCUGACGCAGCGACGCCGCGUGCGGGAAGAAGGCCUUCGGGUUGUAAACCGCUUUCAGGAGGGACGAAGCCACUCGGGCUAAUACCCCGUAGUGGUGACGGUACCUCCAGAAGAAGCCCCGGCUAACUACGUGCCAGCAGCCGCGGUAAUACGUAGGGGGCAAGCGUUGUCCGGAUUUAUUGGGCGUAAAGAGCGUGUAGGCGGCCAGGUAGGUCCGUUGUGAAAACUCGAGGCUCAACCUCGAGCUGUCGAUGGAAACCAUCUGGCUAGAGUCCGGAAGAGGAGAGUGGAAUUCCCGGUGUAGCGGUGAAAUGCGCAGAUAUCGGGAAGAACACCCAUGGCGAAGGCAGCUCUCUGGGACGGUACUGACGCUGAGACGCGAAAGCGUGGGGAGCGAACAG
RNAcentral lists this ribosomal RNA (428 nucleotides) under uncultured bacterium. RNAcentral describes it as "bacterial SSU rRNA". It matches the Rfam family "Bacterial small subunit ribosomal RNA", at positions 355 to 775 of the family's 1533-position model. The record is from RNAcentral.